AUUAAUAAUUAAGAAAGAAAAAGUUAAAGUUUGUACCUUUUGUAUUAUGGUUCAACAAGGUUAUAUAAAUGAAGUUUUAUAACCCGAAGCUGAGCGAGCUAAUGUAUUCUGCUUUAAGAGAGGAGGCUUUUACUGUUGCAAUAGUAAGGUUUGAGGAUCCAUUAGAUGUGAUAUGCUUAUCGUGCUCAGGGAUAGCUGGUUUUUCUAGAAAUAAGUGUGAGCUAAGUGUGUAUAUUUAUCAUAAUAUAAUUAUCUUAGAGGAUAAUAAGAUAAUUUUGAUAAUAAUAUAAUAGUAAGACAGAGAGGGCUAAGCUCCUUUGUCAAUGAAGAAAAAGCUUUGUACUAUUAAUUAAGGGUAGUUUUAUGAAAAUGUGUUAGGUGUUGAUAAAAAGUAGGAUUAAUAGCAUCCAACUUUGUAGAAAGCGUUAAAGCUUAUUUAUUUUAAUAGUAAUACAAAUAAUUUUAGUAGGAUGGCUCUAGAUUGUAGGUGUUUUAUAGAAAAAUUUCAUAAGUUUGAAAGUUAUAAUGUUGAAAUUAGUAGAGAAAUAAGUAUAUAUUUUUUGUGAAUUAAUCAAUCCUUACAUUGGAUGGAACAAUUAAGUUUAUAAUCGGGAAAUUAGUUUGUUUGAGUUGUCUACUAACACAAGUAAUAUAGUAUUGGUUAAUAAAAGGGAAAGGAACUCGGCAAAUAAUUAUUUCGCCUGUUUACCAAAAACAUCGCUCUUUGUAAAGAAUCUAAUAUAUAAGGAGUCCUGCCUGCCCGGUGACAUAGUUAAACGGCCGCGGUAUCUUGACCGUGCAAAGGUAGCAUAAUCAUUUGCCUCUUAAAUGGGGGCUGGUAUGAAUGGCAAGACGGAAAUUUAGCUGUCUCUCUCUUAAAUUUUGAAGUUAAUAUUCUUGUGAAGAAGCAGGAAUAAGAUCGUAGGACGAGAAGACCCUAUCGAGCUUUAGUAGAGAUAAGAUACAAUCAUGUUGAUGGUAUUUUAUUGCUAAUUGGUUGUUUUUAAUGACUAGAAUAAUUUUACUAUUAGAGUAAUCAUGUUGUGUAUCUAAUAUUUAGGUUGGGGCAACCGCGGAGAAUAGUUAUCCUCCGCUAAUUUAAUUAGUAAAAAAAUGUUUUUAGAUAUAAGAUUUAUAUAAAAGUGAUCCACUACAAUAAGUGAGUACAAGAAUAAGUUACCGUAGGGAUAACAGCGUAAUUUUUUUGGAGAGUUCAUAUUGAUAAAAAAGUUUGCGACCUCGAUGUUGGAUCGGGAUUUCCUGGGGAUGCAGCAGUUCCUAA
This 1282-nucleotide ribosomal RNA is filed under the name Paranepanthia aucklandensis. RNAcentral describes it as "partial 16S ribosomal RNA". It matches the Rfam family "Bacterial large subunit ribosomal RNA", at positions 562 to 2568 of the family's 2925-position model. Lineage: Eukaryota; Metazoa; Echinodermata; Asteroidea; Valvatida; Asterinidae. The record is from RNAcentral.